GCGAGAGGAGAAAGCGAGGCCCGGGGACGGGACUGAGAGCUCUGAAAGGAGGGAGGCGGCUCCCGAGUACUCCGCGCGGGGCAGGCCCCGGCCUCGCCUCUUCGCCCAUUUUUAAGGCUCGAGUUAGAGGCCACCUCCUCCGAGAAGCCUUCGGUGACACCACCUCUCCCAGACGGUUCCCCUUUCUGAUUCCCACAGCAUUUUCCAACCAUUCACGCCGUCUUCCUUCCUCAUUGUGGUUUGGACCUUCUCGAGAAAGAAUCUGGCCUCAGUCUCCCUCUUCCACACUCAGGGACCGCCACCAUCACAGGCACUCGGUAGAUGUCUGCUGAAUGAGGAUAACUUCUACCCAACACCGUGAAGCCUGGCCCAGGGUCUGGCAUACAGAUGCCGUGUUUGUAAGGUGACUAAAACCCAGUGGCCUCUGUAAAUUCCUAUUUUCCUUGGACUCUGAGCCCUCUGACCACCUUCUGGAAGCCGUGUCCCUGUCUUUUUUCCUUGUGCCCCAGGCUUCUCCACCCCCCUGUCUGGCUGUGCUGCCCCUGGAUCCCUUCGUGCCCCGUUCCCCGCACUAUGUCUCCUCAGUCCUCCUCCCUUUUCUCUAGGCUGCCUUUCCUUGGAGAGGUCCUAUGCAUGUAGCCUGUCUUGAUGUUUACUGUUUUACAGUGGCUUUUCUCAUCUGCAUAGUCUGUCCUCCUGUCUUUCCAUCCUGCUCCUGUUCCCACCGGCUCUGUCCUCUCCCUCAGAUGUCCAGCCACCACCUCAAUGUCAGCCGAAGCCCAGUGUCUCUCCAAAGCUCUUGAUCUCCAUUUCUGUCAGCGAUACCAUCAUUUCCCAGUCACUCCGUCCAGAAAGGUCAGCCCCUCCUUGUACUUUGCUCCCUAAAUCCAGUCCCCAAAUCGGCUGCUUCUUACUAUCUAGAUGGUUGCAGUGGAUUCUAUCCAGUCCCAUCCCCAGACCACCCUUCCCACUGUUAGUGGAGUUCCCUUCCUAAAAGACUUCAUUCCCUAGCUCUUCUCUUGCUCAGGUCAUUCUGAAACAUCCCCUCCCCCAUUCGUCUACUAAAUCAAGUCCAGACUCCUUUGCCUAAUGUUUAAGACCCUUCAUAAUUUAGCCCCAUCUGCCUUUUUAGGUUGCUGCUACUUUGUGCUCCAGGGUCACUCUUCUCACUGCCCUCUAAGUAUCAGCAAAUCUACAGCCUGGAUCCCUCAACAGCUUGCCCAUGAUCCCCAUCUCUGCCCUGUAACGUGGUCCCCAUUCCAUGCAUGCCUGAACAUGCGUGACCCUGCUGCUCCGUGGCUCAUGUCCUUAUCUCCUGCAUACAUCAUUGUCUAUACCACGCCCCACCCCUGCCUCAAUCUCUCACACUACUGAAGGUACAGUGUAAUCUUGGUCUUCCACCUUGAAAACCUAUGCUGACCAUUCUCUCGAGGCUGAGUUAGUCAUCCAUACCAUUCUUUGGGCAUUCAUAAUCUAUCAUUUGGUAUUGUUAGUGAUCUUUUUAGAGAUUCAACCAGAGCUUGCAAGUUAAUUGAAAACAGGUUACUAUGCUCACAUGUCCCACAUUUCUGGAACAAUUCAGAAUUCAAAUAUUUUGCUCUACUGCUUCAUAUAACAAAUAAAAAUGACCCAAAAUUCUAAUAGUUUGGCAUUAAACAUAUCUCUUAGAUGGCCUCUUUCACCGGCUUCUCCCCAAAUGCUGGAUCAGGCCAGAUGAGGCCAUUACUUCUGCUCACUGAGGGGAAAGAAUUAUUUGUUACAGGAAACAGGGCUGACCCUGGAAACAAGAUAACUUAGAGAUAUACCCAGCCAUGGAGACCAGGUGUCAGCAAGGCCGGAACUGACCAAGGUCAACCACCAAGGAAGUCAGGGAAAUAGGUCAAGAUAUAGACAGCUAUAUAGGGUUGUUCAGCACCUAAAUGUGAAAACGCUGAACAUCUUCCUGGGUAUGUCUUUGACAGGUGUGAGUUGUAGGAGAUGCCUAACAUCUCUUGCAACUGAACUGCUGAAAAAAAUCUUAUGGUAGCCCCUCGACUGUUUUUUGCUUCAGAAAAUAGAAUUCUGUCCUUAUGUAGAUUUUUCUGUCCCACACCAGGCCACAUAGUGAAUUCUCAAGAGAGCCAGGACUGGGACCAAAUUUUCUGACUUCAAGUAUGGGGCCUUUUCAUUAGACUGUUGGGCCCCUCUGCUGCUGUUGCAUGGGCCGUGGUCCGACAGAGCUGUCAUUGCAGGCGAUGAUGCAGUGAAUGGGACAGGAGCCAGGAGGCUGGAACCCCUCGUCUCCACCAUUACCCAGGGUGUGCCUUGGCCUCGUCAUUGGUGAUUAGUUUGUGAACUUUGUGUAGGGCAGAGAUGAUCCAUAAAUACCAGAAGGCAGUCCCACUGCUCUCUCUUUUUUUUUUUUUUUUUUUUUUUGAGACAGGGUCUCACUCUGUCAUCAGGCUGGAGUGCAGUGGCGCGAUCUUGGCUCACUGCAACCUCUGCCUCCCGGGCUCAAGCGAUUCUCCUGCCUCAGCCUCCCGAGUAGCUGGGACUGCAGGCAUGCACCACCAUGCCCAGCUAUUUUUGUAUUUUUAGUAGAGGUGGGGUUUCAUCACGUUGGUCAGGAUGGUCUUGAUCUCUUGACCUCGUGAUCCACCCACCUUGGCUUCCCAAAGUGCUGGGAUUACAGGCAUGAGCCAUUGUGCCCAGCCUCUCCUCUUUUCUUUCUAUACACAAGCCUAGGGAGAGGAAACUUAAUGUAUCUCACAUUCAAAGUUCCCAAGUCAAUAUACAGUGUAGCCGGGUGUGGUGGCUCACACCUGUAAUCCCAGGACUUUCAGAGGCUCAGGCAGACUGAUCACUUGAGGACAGGAGUUUGAGACCAGCCUGGCCAACACGGCAAAACCCAGUCUCUACUAAAAAUACAAAAAAAAAAAAAAAAAAAAAAAAAAUUAGCUGGGUGUGGUGGCGGAUGCCCGUAAUCCCAGCUACUCCAGAGGCUCAGGCAAGAGAAUCGCUUGAACCUGGGAGGCAGAGAUUGCAGUGAGCCGAGAUCACGACAUUGCACUCCAUCCUGGGCAACAGAGUGAGACUCCAUCUCAAAAAGUAAAAAAUAAAAAAUAAUUUAAAAAAAAUAUAUAUAUACACACAGUGUAAUUGUACUCAACUCUGGAUUUAGGUUCUCAAUCAAUUUCUGAAUACAUUAUAGCAGUCCCAAUUGUUUUUGAAAUUUCCUGAAACUACUCUUAUAUUGCUAGGACCAGAAUCCUUAGAAACUCUAAAAGUCAAGAUAUCACCCCUGCUUUUUCUCUUUGCAUGUUGCCUGUUGCUUCCCAUUCCUUGGUAUAAUCAAGGUGCUGUUUGAGCAGCAAGAUAAGGAGAGUGGGUUUCCUCUCCCUCCCCACCUGUCCUUCCUGCUUCUCCUUCUCCCUUCCUGCCCUUCCUCCUCCUCUUCCUCCUCAUUCUUCUCUACCUCCCUCCACUCCCACCCAAGGGUCUUGGGUUGAAUUUUGAACUUUAAAUGUUGACUUGUGCUGACCAGUGACUUCACCCACUGAAGAGGGGGAAUGGGGUGAUGGAAGUGAGGGUGGACUUCAUUUAUGCCUCAUCUGGACCAGAAUUUCUGUCCCAUGUGACCUCAGACCUAUUGGUUCCUCUAGUCCUGGUUGCUCAUCUCGCCCACUUGCACAGCCCACCUGUGUGGCCGACUCAGGAUUGACCCACCUGCUCUCUUCAGGCCAUAUUCCCACGCAGAAGUGGGUCCCACUCCUCAGGCCUCUGUGCUGGCCCCGUCUGUGGGGUUAGCAAGCAGCCCUGCUCUCCAUUUCCAGCUCAGAAGCAACUGGAUCGUUGUAAGUGAUUUCUAUCUUUCCCAGCGCCCUGUUGGGCCUGUGGGGACUUGGCUUGGUUGGCUCAAUUUUCUGAGUACAAGUAGAAACCUGAGGUUGAGUGAGGCAGGCAGUGGCUGGGCUGAGAUAUUGUAGGAGGGUAAUAUCAGGUCAUUUCUCCACCAUGCAGAGUGUAGUUUUUGUUGGUCUGUGUGUCGGUGUGGUUAGGGAGGUAUUAGUAUGUAUAUUUGAGUGAGCAUACAUACUUAGAUUGCAUGUGGGCUCUGAUGUUUGUGGGUAGCAGGGGAUAUGGAUAUGUGUUCACUAUGUUAGUAAGCACAUAUAAUGGUAUCUGUUGAAGAAAGUCGUCUUGUGAAAUGUGGGUGUUAUGGUAGAGUGUACAUUUUGGUGGAGUAUGUCUGAGUGUAGCUGGUGCAAAUACUAAUUUGAUCUUUCCUCUUUACAGACCUCAUUGGUGACAACUUGACUGUGCUGCCCAGAGCUGAUAAGAAACAUCACCCGGGGAAGACCAGCUGCCUCUUCCUUGCUUCCUAAUCAGGGUGGAAAUACUGCUAAAUAUAUCACAACUCUUUGCAAGCA
Molecule: long non-coding RNA, 4409 nt
Filed under: Homo sapiens (human)
Lineage: Eukaryota; Metazoa; Chordata; Mammalia; Primates; Hominidae
Description: HSALNT0297516
Source: RNAcentral